Non-coding RNA from Paramuricea clavata, 334 nucleotides. NCBI's taxonomy places the organism in Eukaryota, Metazoa, Cnidaria, Anthozoa, Malacalcyonacea, Plexauridae. The record is from the annotation of a GenBank genome assembly.
GAGAUCCCUUUAUUUCAAGUUAAAUGAUUAUUUGAAUAAGAUGCCAUUCAGGCAAUAAGGGCCUGGUUAGGUCCAUAUUUUAAUUCAAAUUAUUAAGUACUCGAUUUAUCCAUCAACAAAACCCAACAUUAAAAUUUCCAUCGAGUGAGAUGCAACAAAACCAUCUAUAGUUUAUUAAUUAUGUUAACCUAAUCCAUCAAUUGGCAAUGAGCCUACUUUAGUAAUAAUUUUAUAUACUCCAUCUCUAAUUUGCCCAUUAUAUUUAUAAACUGACAGUUAAAGGGUAUUGGCAACAAAAAAUUUUAUUGAUUUUAUUGCUUCAUCUGAAGGAGCA